GCCUCCAGCAGGCUGAGUCACAGGAGUGUGGGGUCCCCUCAGACCCCAGAACCUUCCCUGACACCCAGGCCACAGCCUGGCACGGCACUCUGAACUGUCCUCGCUGGUGGGCGGAAUAUUUUUAUUCUCCAAACUCUCCAAGCACACAGCAAAAAGGCCUCAAGGAGCUUCUAAAAGAUUCUCAAUAGGAUAAGAAGCUGGUGCAGAGCUUCAGCCAUGGAAGCUUCCAGCCUGCCAAGCAUUGCCUCUCAGAGCAGGGCAGUAAGUUGGUGGAGGGCCGAGAGGGAGUUAUUCGGGCCGACAGAGCCUGGCCUGCAGCAGAUGCCCGACGAGAGUGUGUCAGACGAACAGAUGCGUGGAUGACGGGUGCCCGAGAAGCUGCUCCUUCCUGUACUCACACAUCAGAAAUCCUAGUGCACGCUCACUCCUUAGGCCCUGCCUGCCCGGCGCUGGCCCAGCCGUGAGCAAGGCGGGCAUGCCCUCUGGAAGCUCAUUUCUGCUGGGAGAGACCGGCCAGGAAUACGUCCACUCACACAAACGAAGUCCUGAGCAUGCUGCUGUCAAGUAGGGAAGAAAGGGGCGGUCUGCCUGUCGCCUCCUGGAAUACAGGACCCCUCCCCACGCCAGCAGUGACAUCAGACAUUGGCCACAGCAGGCUGGCCUGAGGCUCCAAUGACGUCACUGUUUCAAAGUGCACUGAUGAUGUCAUAAUGGGCUCUGGGGGCUGGGACAGAACCCUGCAAGCUGGGACAGAGGACACUUGUGUCCAUUCUGCCUGGAUGAAUCUCACUGGGGCCUCAGGAGGAGGUGGGCAGGUCUCCAUGGCACUCAGCCUCUUCCCCACCUCCCUCCCAAUUACUGGCUUACUGGCUCUAGUGAGGUAACCGGGCCUGUCUUUGUGUCUGAUGGGAUCGUCCCAGCCUGUGCAGAUGUGGCUACUUUUCCCUGUGACUGUACAGUCUUAGGUACUAUGGGGAAUAAGAAGGUGAACAGGGUGUGGUGGUGCAUUCCUGUAAUCUCAGUGCUCUGGGAGGCUGAGGCAGGAGGGUGGAAAAUUUUAGACCAGCCUGAUCAACUUAGGAACUCCUGUCUCAAAGUAAAAAUUUUAAAAUAAAGGACUGCAUAUAAUUA
Long non-coding RNA from Cavia porcellus (domestic guinea pig), 1131 nucleotides. RefSeq lists it as uncharacterized. The transcript has 3 exons. Lineage: Eukaryota; Metazoa; Chordata; Mammalia; Rodentia; Caviidae. The record is from RefSeq and is a predicted model, not a curated record.